AUUGAACGCUGGCGGCAGGCCUAACACAUGCAAGUCGAACGGUAACAGGAAGAAGCUUGCUUCUUUGCUGACGAGUGGCGGACGGGUGAGUAAUGUCUGGGAAACUGCCUGAUGGAGGGGGAUAACUACUGGAAACGGUAGCUAAUACCGCAUAACGUCGCAAGACCAAAGAGGGGGACCUUCGGGCCUCUUGCCAUCGGAUGUGCCCAGAUGGGAUUAGCUAGUAGGUGGGGUAACGGCUCACCUAGGCGACGAUCCCUAGCUGGUCUGAGAGGAUGACCAGCCACACUGGAACUGAGACACGGUCCAGGCUCCUACGGGAGGCAGCAGUGGGGAAUAUUGCACAAUGGGCGCAAGCCUGAUGCAGCCAUGCCGCGUGUAUGAAGAAGGCCUUCGGGUUGUAAAGUACUUUCAGCGGGGAGGAAGGGAGUAAAGUUAAUACCUUUACUCAUUGACGUUACCCGCAGAAGAAGCACCGGCUAACUCCGU
RNAcentral lists this ribosomal RNA (489 nucleotides) under uncultured bacterium. Its description in RNAcentral is "partial 16S ribosomal RNA". It matches the Rfam family "Bacterial small subunit ribosomal RNA", at positions 30 to 506 of the family's 1533-position model. The record is from RNAcentral.